AUCAGCAGCCAACAUGAAGUUUCUGAGAGGCUGAACUUUGUGAAAGUUUUUUCCAGGAAACUUUGUCCUUUUCUGGGGCCUGGCAGUAUCUAGCCAUCAUCCUGCUUUGAGAUUCAGGCCUUGACUUUGAGCUGGAGCGACCCUUCGAGUAAAGGGGAAGUGACUGCCUGCAUGUCCUCACCUGAGCAAGAUUCCCAUCAGCAGCUGGUGACUUUGCAAUUCAUUAUGUAUCAUAAGCACAACAAAAGACAAUCCAGUACAGUCRCACUUGAAGUGGAACCAUUAUUUAUGGAUGAAGAGAGUGCCUAG
This 309-nucleotide long non-coding RNA is filed under the name Dromaius novaehollandiae (emu). RNAcentral's name for it is "lncRNA (ENSDNVG00000004233.1)". Lineage: Eukaryota; Metazoa; Chordata; Aves; Casuariiformes; Dromaiidae. The record is from RNAcentral.